GCCAGGCACAGUGGAACACACCUGUUGUCCCAGAUACUUGGGAGGCUGAGACAGGGGGAUCACUUGAGCCCAGAGGUUUGAGGCCAGCCUGGGCAACUUAGUGAGACCCGUUCUCUA
RNAcentral lists this small RNA (117 nucleotides) under Marmota monax (woodchuck). The record is from RNAcentral. Lineage: Eukaryota; Metazoa; Chordata; Mammalia; Rodentia; Sciuridae.